CCCAGGCGUGGCAGAAAAGUCAGCACCGCCCUCUUCCCGCAGCCCCUGCAAGCUGGCAGGCCAGCUGCAAGCCCCCUCGGCCUGCCCCACCUCGGGCAGAACAGGCCCAGCUCUCCAGCCGGUGCCUCCCCUGCGCCGCGGCGCCAGGCCCGGGCUGGGCGCCGUGCCCCGGAGGGCACCGUCUGCCGCCUGGGCUGCUUGAAGCGCCGCUCAGGACUUGCGUGGGACGCUCCCCUGCUUUUCCAGGGCCACGCUGGGGACACUCAGCACCGCCGCAGCCCCCAGGCCUCUCUGAGCCCUGCCACCCCACUGGUCACCCCUGUCCUCGGAGACCAGGCACGGGCAGAGAGUCCUGCCCUGCGUCCCGGCGAGAGCGGGAACCGGCCCGGCCUCGCCACGUCCACGUCCACGUCCACGUCCUUUCACGAGGAACAAGAAACAAGGCAGGCGCCGCUGGUUCCGGGGUGCAAGCGGCAAGUCGCAGCUUCGGGGGCGCAGGCAGAUGGAGGCGACCCCCUUGAACUGAGACGCCGCGCUCAGAGCCGUGCGGGACUCCGCUGCCGGGUCUCCCGAUCGCCCGAAGCAGAGGGCUCUGCCUGCCGGGGGGUGGGGGGGGCAGGAGCCCCCUCCCCUUACAGGCCAGCGCAAAGCUGCAGCUACUCCAGGAGAGCCAGGCCAGCCCCUCGCCAGCCCGGGCGCAGAGGAGGAGUAGGUUCGUCCCCUGGCUGGCCCUGCUGCCGGGCACACCGCGGCGUGGAUCUCCACGGCCGUCCCGACGUCCAGCCCCGCGCAGCUCCUGGCAGGCUGCCCCGGCAGAGCCUCCCUCGUGCAGCCACUCGCCCGUGUCGCGGUGAACACGAGGCAUGCGCGGCCCGGGGCACUUCACCCUCGGUGCCUGCUUUGCAACUCUUACCUUCCCCCGGUGACUCACGGGCGCCGGUGCAGAUGGCGGAGGCGAGCCGGGCACGGCGGCAUCAGGAUGUGACUGCCGAAGCCCUUGAGGCCCGCAGGUGCGGGCGGCAGUGCCCAGUCUCUGCACCCAGCCCUGGUUCUCCAAGCGGGGGUGCACCCUGCCGCCUGCUUUGGCUGCCCCAGGGCCUUCCCUAGCCCAGCACCAGCCCCAG
RNAcentral lists this long non-coding RNA (1124 nucleotides) under Crocodylus porosus (Australian saltwater crocodile). RNAcentral describes it as "lncRNA (ENSCPRG00005012062.1)". Lineage: Eukaryota; Metazoa; Chordata; Crocodylia; Crocodylidae. The record is from RNAcentral.